RNAcentral lists this ribosomal RNA (493 nucleotides) under uncultured bacterium. Its description in RNAcentral is "bacterial SSU rRNA". It matches the Rfam family "Bacterial small subunit ribosomal RNA", at positions 1 to 507 of the family's 1533-position model. The record is from RNAcentral.
UUGAUAUUCACGAAUCGAAUCAAAGUUUCUGCUUCACGCUAUAUCAAGUGCCAACACAUACAGGAACUGAGUACUGAAUGUUGAAUGCCGGAUAGCGGCGGACGGGUGAGUAACGCGUGGGCAACCUGCCUCAUACUGGGGGAUAACACAGGGAAACUUGUGCUAAUACCGCAUAAUAUCAUUAUAGGGCAUCCUGUGAUGAUCAAAGGAGCAAUCCGGUGUGAGAUGGGCCCGCGUCCAAUUAGCUAGUUGGUGGGGUAACGGCCCACCAAGGCGACGAUUGGUAGCCGAACUGAGAGGUUGAUCGGCCACAUUGGGACUGAGACACGGCCCAGACUCCUACGGGAGGCAGCAGUGGGGAAUAUUGCGCAAUGGGGGAAACCCUGACGCAGCAACGCCGCGUGAAGGAUGAAGGUCUUCGGAUUGUAAACUUCUUUGAUGAGGGACGAACACAAUGACGGUACCUCAAAAACAAGCCACGGCUAACUACGUG